Molecule: long non-coding RNA, 474 nt
Organism: Chelonia mydas (Green sea turtle)
Lineage: Eukaryota; Metazoa; Chordata; Testudines; Cheloniidae
Exons: 3
Source: RefSeq, a predicted model, not a curated record
ACCUGCUGACAUUUGGUGGAGCCAGCUCCAAUUGCCAGAGGGGUUGUGCACUCGUUGCCUUGGCUGUACUGAUACACAGAACCAACAGAGUGCUGUCUCCAGCUGCAGAUCUUCAAGUGCGCCCACGCAAGCAAGUGUCUAGGGCUCUGAAAUCCAGAGGAGUGUACGCUCCAGGGUGGGGUAAAUGGCAGCAGUGUAAAUGCCAGUUACAAGUAAAGUGACUGCGGCAGAGGGGUGAAUAGAAGAUUCCCACCUAUCCAACAGCACCACGGGGAUACUCAGGAUCUUCUUUAAUGUCAACAACAUCAGGCACACAGCACUAACCACAUCUGAGGCUAACGAAUAGACAACCUUAUUCUCAAAAUUUAUUAUGCCGAGAGAGAGAGCAGCAAAUAUGGUUGUUUACAUCAGAAAUCCAAAGCUCCCCUCAGUUUGAGCCAUUCUCUGCUGCCUGUUCUCAUUGGAGGCAAAAUU